CUGGCAGUGAGUCCAGAAGAGAAGGAAUCGUGGAUCAAUGCCCUCAACUCUGCCAUCACCCGAGCCAAGAACCGUAUCUUGGAUGAGUACAUCUCUUCAGGUCACCGUUGAGGAGGACAGCUAUCUUGCCCAUCCCACUCGAGACAGGGCAAAAAUCCAACAUUCCCGCCGCCCCCCAACAAGGGGACACCUAAUGGCUGUGGCUUCCACCUCUACCUCAGAUGGGAUGCUGACCUUGGACUUGAUCCAAGAGGAAGACCCUUCUCCUGAGGAACCAACCUCUUGUGCUGAGAGCUUUCGGGUUGACCUGGACAAGUCUGUGGCCCAGCUGGCAGGGAGCCGGCGGAGAGCAGACUCAGACCGCAUUCAGCCCUCCGCAGACCGGGCAAGCAGCCUCUCCCGACCUUGGGAAAAAACAGACAAAGGGGCCACCUACACCCCCCAGGCACCCAAGAAGUUGAUGCCCACAGAGAAAGGCCGCUGCGCCUCCCUGGAGGAGAUCCUAUCUCAGCGGGACGCUGCCCCUGCCCACGCCCUCCAGCUGCGGGCUGAGGAACCCCCAACCCCUGCCCUCCCCAACCCAGGGCAGCUGUCCCGGAUCCAGGACCUGGUAGCAAGGAAACUGGAGAAGACUCAGGAGCUUCUGGCAGAGGUUCAGGGACUGGGAGAUGGGAAGCGAAAGGCCAAGGACCCCCCUCGGUCUCCGCC
RNAcentral lists this small RNA (708 nucleotides) under Pongo abelii (Sumatran orangutan). RNAcentral's name for it is "processed transcript". The record is from RNAcentral. Lineage: Eukaryota; Metazoa; Chordata; Mammalia; Primates; Hominidae.